RNAcentral lists this ribosomal RNA (245 nucleotides) under uncultured bacterium. RNAcentral describes it as "partial 16S ribosomal RNA". It matches the Rfam family "Bacterial small subunit ribosomal RNA", at positions 524 to 768 of the family's 1533-position model. The record is from RNAcentral.
GACAGGGGAUGCAAGCGUUACUCGGAAUUACUGGGCGUAAAGCGUCUGCAGGCGUCUUGUUAAGUCUGGUGUAAAAGCACGGAGCUCAACUCCGUGUACGUGCCGGAAACUGGCGAGAUCGAGUCACUCAGAGGCAUCUGGAAUGUCGUGUGUAGGGGUAAAAUCCGUUGAUCCACGAUGGAACGCCGAAAGCGAAGGCAGGAUGCUGGGGGUGUACUGACGCUCAGAGACGAAAGCGUGGGGAG